AGAGUUUGAUCAUGGCUCAGAACGAACGCUGGCGGCAUGCCUAACACAUGCAAGUCGAACGUGAUCCAGACUUCGGUUUGGUGAAAGUGGCAGACGGGUGAGUAACGCGUGGGAACCUGCCCUGUGGUAGGGAAUAACCGUGGGAAACUGCGGCUAAUACCCUAUGAGUCCUUCGGGAGAAAGAUUUAUCGCCAUAGGAGGGGCCCGCGUCGGAUUAGGUAGUUGGUGGGGUAACGGCCUACCAAGCCUUCGAUCCGUAGCUGGUCUGAGAGGAUGAUCAGCCACACUGGGACUGAGAUACGGCCCAGACUCCUACGGGAGGCAGCAGUGGGGAAUAUUGGACAAUGGGGGCAACCCUGAUCCAGCAAUGCCGCGUGGAUGAUGAAGGCCUUCGGGUUGUAAAGUCCUUUCGGCGGGGAAGAUGAUGACGGUACCCGCAGAAGAAGCCCCGGCUAACUUCGUGCCAGCAGCCGCGGUAAUACGAAGGGGGCUAGCGUUGUUCGGAAUUACUGGGCGUAAAGGGCGCGUAGGCUGUGCUGUAAGUCAGGCGUGAAAGCCCCGGGCUCAACCUGGGAAUUGCGCUUGAUACUGCGGCGCUGGAAGGUGGGAGAGGAUGGCGGAAUUCCCAGUGUAGAGGUGAAAUUCGUAGAUAUUGGGAAGAACACCGGUGGCGAAGGCGGCCAUCUGGCCCAUUUUUGACGCUGAGGCGCGAAAGCGUGGGGAGCAAACAGGAUUAGAUACCCUAGUAGUCC
Molecule: ribosomal RNA, 752 nt
Filed under: uncultured bacterium
Lineage: Bacteria
Description: bacterial SSU rRNA
Rfam family: Bacterial small subunit ribosomal RNA
Source: RNAcentral